Molecule: long non-coding RNA, 778 nt
Filed under: Danio rerio (zebrafish)
Lineage: Eukaryota; Metazoa; Chordata; Actinopteri; Cypriniformes; Danionidae
Description: si:dkey-14i19.3 (ENSDARG00000105555.2)
Source: RNAcentral
GUGAACAACAGACUGCUUGGUGAGGAGACCCAACUAAUAUGUGGCAGGAUUGGAGAUUUCCUUCAAUUAGUUUACAUCCAUACAAGUUUUCCUCCGCGAGGCUAAAGUCCAGGACUCUUCAGCUUCAUAGUCAGACGCAUCCCUUGAACAGCGGGACAGGAGAGAUGAAUGCUAAGAGCAGCAGCAGAGCUUCAGAGCUGCUCCUAUCUGCACAGGUCCUCAUGUGCUGAGUCUCGCUGAGGCUUCCUCUUCUUUACAUUGGACUUCACAGACUUGCUGCUCUGCUGGAUCUUGUUGGGGUUGUUGUGCGGCCCUUGAGUACUUUUGUUAGCGAGCUGCCGGCUCUGGAUAAAACACAAGAUGACAUUUUUAUUAGGGUUAUGAAACUCAAUUGUCAAUUUGAGUCAAUGAUUUAGAUGUAUUAAUUUCAAAUAUUAUUAAUUUAUAAAUAGAUCCCAGAUUAAUUAGGAAACUGGAAAACGAUAACACAUGAAACUUCAAAAUGCAUUAAAUUAAAAAUGUUAAAAGAGGAUUCAGAUAUGAGAUGUUCAUUUUAGAGUUAGCAUCAAACUAAAAUGUGAAAAAGUGAGUAUAUACACAAACAUACCUUAUGAAAGUUAUAUUUCAACAUUUGAUUGGUUCAUUAUUAUGAUGAAAUUGAAUUUUAUUUUAUUUUGAAUAAUUAAAAACUUACUGACAAAUGUGCAAUAUUGAGAGGAGAGUGGUAAUCAGGGAGUGACAUUAACACCAGCCCAAUGCUGGUAGAUUUUAGCUGUGA